GGAAAGGUAGAGCUCCAGCUCCCUGCUCCUGAUGCGGAAAUAGAUCCGUCUCUGGAAAGAGAGAAACAUUUUCCAGCACUGAAAAUCACUGCUGCCUGCGGCUGGCUGAGGAAGGACCUCACCCGGCUUCUGCCUUGGAAGCACGUGGUUGUUGAAACCCUCUGCCUGGAGACUCCGCACUUCAUUGUUCAGCUCAAUCUCCUUUCCUUCAAAACACUCCAGCCCGUGCAGGAAGAUGGAAGGCUCCGAGAAAAACUGCAGGAUGAGGGAUGAGAUGAAUCGAGCAGAUGGCAGUAGAGGAGAGGCAGCCCAUGGCGCUGAGCGUGGGGUACUCACCCUCGGACAGCACGUGCUGCUCUCCAGCGAAGGCUUGCCCAUCAAACAGGAUCCAGCUGCCAGAGAGGAGCAUGUCCAGGCUGACACUGCCAUUGAGGAUGGGCUGCACCGAGGCGAUGUGGCAAUCCAUGGCGCCCCAGUCCUCGCAGCUGCGGUACACCCCCUUCUCCAGGAUGUACUGCUCGCCUGAGAAGUUGGUGCCCUCGUAGGCCACCCACCUGCCAGAAAAGGCUGUCACCUUCCCAGCGGGAUUGCCCACCCCGUGCCACUCACCAGCCACCAAGGACAUGCAAGGAGCCCACGGUGGGCAGUGCCGGCCCUGGCAAGCGCUUCAGGUCAUAGAUGUCUCGGCUGAUGGUGAAGCUGCGACCCUGGAAACCUGCAGCCUCGUAGAUCAACACCUGAGGACACGGCAGGGUGAGUGUGGUCCCACAGGCACCCUGGCCCUGCCGGCUUCUCGGACACUGGCCCCAC
Molecule: long non-coding RNA, 810 nt
Organism: Cuculus canorus (common cuckoo)
Lineage: Eukaryota; Metazoa; Chordata; Aves; Cuculiformes; Cuculidae
Exons: 5
Source: RefSeq, a predicted model, not a curated record